ACGGAAGGCAGCAGUGGGGAAUAUUGCACAAUGGGCGCAAGCCUGAUGCAGCAACGCCGCGUGAGCGAAGAAGGUCUUCGGAUCGUAAAGCUCUGUCCUCAGGGAAGAAGGAAGUGACGGUACCUGAGGAGGAAGCCCCGGCUAACUACGUGCCAGCAGCCGCGGUAAUACGUAGGGGGCGAGCGUUAUCCGGAAUUAUUGGGCGUAAAGAGUACGUAGGUGGUCAUGUAAGCGAGUGGUGAAAGCCCGGGGCUUAACUCCGGCGAGCCAUUCGAACUGCAUGACUUGAGUGCAGGAGGGGAAAGUGGAAUUCCUAGUGUAGCGGUGAAAUGCGUAGAUAUUAGGAGGAACACCGGUGGCGAAGGCGACUUUCUGGACUGUAACUGACACUGAGGUACGAAAGCGUGGGGAGCAAACAGGAUUAGAUACCCUGGUA
This 436-nucleotide ribosomal RNA is filed under the name uncultured Anaerovorax sp. RNAcentral describes it as "bacterial SSU rRNA". It matches the Rfam family "Bacterial small subunit ribosomal RNA", at positions 341 to 792 of the family's 1533-position model. The record is from RNAcentral. Lineage: Bacteria; Bacillati; Bacillota; Clostridia; Peptostreptococcales; Anaerovoracaceae.